GUACACGCUGUGACUAGCAUAUCAAUAAGCGGAGGAAAAGAAACUAACAAGGAUUCCCCUAGUAACGGCGAGUGAAGCGGGAAGAGCUCAAAUUUGAAAUCUUAAAGGGUUUCCCUUUACGAAUUGUAGUUUAAAGAAGUGUUUUCUGUUGAGGUUUUGGUAAAAGUUCUUUGGAAUAGGACAUCAUAGAGGGUGAGAAUCCCGUAUUUGACCUUUACUUUCAACUUUGUGAUACACUUUCAAAGAGUCGGAUUGUUUGGGAAGUGCAGUCCAAAAUGGGUGGUAAAUUUCAUCUAAAGCUAAAUAUUGGCGAGAGACCGAUAGCGAACAAGUACCGUGAGGGAAAGAUGAAAAGAACUUUGAAAAGAGAGUUAAACAGUACGUGAAAUUGUCAAAAGGGAAGCGUUUGACACCAGUGUUGUUUUUCUGAAAAUCAAUUAAAGAACUGUUUAUGCUAAGUUGUUUAGACUUUAUCAGCUAACUGUUUAGUUUUGAGCUUUUCUUUAAUGCACUUUUCAGUUAACAAGUCAACAUCAAUUUCUUUUGCUGUAAAAAAGCUUGAGGAAGGUGGCUUGAGAUUCGUCUUAAGUGUUUAUAGCCUCUUGCCUAUGCAGUCGGAGAGAUUGAGGUCCUGCAGCGUAGAUCCUUCGGGGCUAAAUGCAUUUGUGCUAAGUUAUAGCAUUUUAUAGACAACUUGUUGACUAUGAUUUGUCUUGUAGCUUACUCGCUUAUGUUAUUUUACCUACGCUUAGGAUGUUGACAGCAGUAUAGACUGU
Molecule: ribosomal RNA, 776 nt
Filed under: uncultured Neocallimastigales
Lineage: Eukaryota; Fungi; Neocallimastigomycota; Neocallimastigomycetes; Neocallimastigales
Description: partial large subunit ribosomal RNA
Rfam family: Eukaryotic large subunit ribosomal RNA
Source: RNAcentral